GAUGAACGCUGGCGGCGUGCCUAACACAUGCAAGUCGAGCGAGAAUUGCAGAAUGAAGCUUCGGCAGAUUUCUGUAAAGGAAAGCGGCGGACGGGUGAGUAACGCGUGAGUAACCUGCCCUUAGGUGGGGGAUAACACAUCGAAAGGUGUGCUAAUACCGCAUAACAUAUAUUUACCGCAUGGUAGAUAUAUCAAAGAUUUAUUGCCUAAGGAUGGACUCGCGUCUGAUUAGAAUAGUUGGUGAGGUAACGGCUCACCAAGUCGACGAUGCGUAGCCGACCUGAGAGGGUGAUCGGCCACAUUGGGACUGAGACACGGCCCAG
RNAcentral lists this ribosomal RNA (323 nucleotides) under uncultured bacterium. Its description in RNAcentral is "bacterial SSU rRNA". It matches the Rfam family "Bacterial small subunit ribosomal RNA", at positions 28 to 334 of the family's 1533-position model. The record is from RNAcentral.